AGAGUUUGAUCCUGGCUCAGGAUGAACAUUGGUAGUACGCCUAAUGCAUGCAAGUCGAACGGAACAUAGCAAUAUGUUUAGUGGCGAACGGGUGAGUAAUGCUUACCUUACUUACCGAUUAGAGGGGGAUACACUAGGGGAAACCUUAAUUAAUACCGCAUAUGUUACUUCGGUAAUGAAAGGAACUUCGGUUUCACUAAUUGAUAGGGGUAAGUUGUAUUAGCUAGUUGGUAGGGUAAUGGCCUACCAAGGCGAUGAUGCAUAGCCAGCUUUAGCGAGUGAAUGGCCACAUUGGGACUGAGACAAGGCCCAGACUCCUUCGGGAGGCAGCAGCAGGGAAUUUUCCGCAAUGGGGGAAACCCUGACGAAGCGAUACUACGUGAAGGAAGAAGGUCUAUGGAUUGUAAACUUCUGUCAGCACAGAAGAAAAAAGUAAAUGAAAGUUUACUAUUGACCAUGUGCUUAGAAAGUCACGACUAACUACGUGCCAGCAGUCGCGGCAAUACGUAGGUGGCGAAUGUUAUCCGGAAUUAUUGGGCGUAAAGAAUGCGUAGAUUGUGUAAUAAGUCAUUUGUAGAAGUCAGGCUCAACCUGAAAGAAGCUGGUGAUACUGUUAUGCUAGAGUGCAGGAGAGGUUGAUGGAAUUCCAUGUGGAGCGGUGAAAUGCUUAGAUAUAUGGAGGAACACCAAUAAAGGCGAAGGCAGUCAACUAUUCUGAUACUGACAUUGAAGCAUGAAAGCGUGGGGAGCAAAUAGGAUUAGAUACCCUAGUAGUCCACGCCGUAAACGAUGCAAGCUAGAUGUUGGGUUUAAACUCAGUGUCGCUAGCUAACGCGUUAAGUUUGCCGCCUGGAUAGUACGCUCGCAAGAGUGAAACCCAAAGGAAUUGACGGGGACCCGCACAAGCGGUGGAGCAUGUGGUUUAAUUCGAUACAACGCGCAAAACCUUACCGAGGCUUGACAUGGAGUGCAAAACUGCGGAAACGCAGCGGAGGUUAUCACUACACAGAUGGUGCAUGGCCGUCGUCAGUUCGUGCCGUGAGGUGUAUGGUUAAGUCCUAUAACGAACGCAACCCUUGUUUUUAGUUACUACUCGCAAGAGAGGACUCUAAAGAGACUGCCAGUGUAAACUGGAGGAAGGAAAGGACGACGUCUGGUCAUCAUGCCUCUUACGCCUCGGGCUACACACGCGCUACAAUGGCUGCUACAAAGGGUUGCCAACUUGCGAAAGUGAGCUAAUCCCAUAAAAGCAGCCUCAGUUCGGAUUGAAGUCUGCAACUCGACUUCAUGGAGCCGGAAUCGCUAGUAAUCGCGGAUCAGCAGUGCCGCGGUGAAUACGUUCUCGGGUCUUGUACACACCGCCCGUCAAGCCAUGAAAAUAGGUAAUACUUGAAGAUGAUUUAUUAACCCGCAAGGGAGAUGGUUAUUUAGGGUAGGAUCUGUGAUUGGGGCUAAGUCGUAACAAGGUAACC
This 1472-nucleotide ribosomal RNA is filed under the name uncultured bacterium. Its description in RNAcentral is "partial 16S ribosomal RNA". It matches the Rfam family "Bacterial small subunit ribosomal RNA". The record is from RNAcentral.